GGCUCCGUAGUGAAGUUCAUGGUGGGUUGCAAGCUCAUUGAUGCGUAUUAGUAGUGCGCCGGGGUCU
RNAcentral lists this transfer RNA (67 nucleotides) under Phylloscopus ijimae (Ijima's leaf-warbler). RNAcentral describes it as "Seicercus ijimae (Ijima's leaf-warbler) tRNA-Cys". The record is from RNAcentral. Lineage: Eukaryota; Metazoa; Chordata; Aves; Passeriformes; Phylloscopidae.